RNAcentral lists this transfer-messenger RNA (352 nucleotides) under Dehalococcoidales. RNAcentral describes it as "G020353235 sp020353235 Standard tmRNA". It matches the Rfam family "transfer-messenger RNA". Rfam says of the family: Bacterial tmRNA, also known as 10Sa RNA or SsrA, is named for its dual tRNA and mRNA-like properties. Its role is to liberate the mRNA from a stalled ribosome. RNAcentral also lists the same sequence under 1 other name. The record is from RNAcentral. Lineage: Bacteria; Bacillati; Chloroflexota; Dehalococcoidia.
GGGGACGCGUGGGUUCGACAGGGGAAGUAGGCUACAGGAUGGCAAGCUGAGGUGCCACUAACCUCAUAAAACAAGUGGCCCAAAAUAACUGGCGAACCUGAAAUGGUUCUUGCUGCCUAAUUAACUGGCAGCACGUCCAACCCGACCUAUCCCCAAGGGUUGGGAUUGGGUGCCGAAAAUUGGGGUGCCAUCACCCGGACGCCAAUAAGGGCGGUGAAAGACAAAUUGGCUGGCUUGGCUAAACUCGGUCAGCAGAGGUUAGCCCGGUGAGAUUAAAGAGCUGACUAAGCUUGUAGUGUGUCCUGGGCAGCUUCUUCUGGACGGGGAGUUCGACUCUCCCCCGUCUCCACCA